CCUGAGAAACGGCUACCACAUCCAAGGAAGGCAGCAGGCGCGCAAAUUACCCAAUCCCGACUCGGGGAGGUAGUGACAAUAAAUAACAAUGCCGGUCCUUUCAUUGGUCCGGCAAUUGGAAUGAGUACAAUCCAAACCCCUUAACGAGGAACAAUUGGAGGGCAAGUCUGGUGCCAGCAGCCGCGGUAAUUCCAGCUCCAAUAGCGUAUAUUAAAGUUGUUGCAGUUAAAAAGCUCGUAGUUGGAUUUCGGGGCCCCGGGCGCUCGUUGCGUUGCCUGCUGGACUUGUCCGGUGGGUGCGUGGCGGUCGUCGGUCUCUGAGUCGGAUCGGUCCGCCGAGAGGCGUGCACUGACCGACGGCCCCUGUUGUCUCUCGGGUUGCCCGCCUGCACUUAAUUGUUGCGGACGGGGAGUUCGGGACGUUUACUUUGAACAAAUUAGAGUGUUCCAAGCAGGCCGGUUGCUUUGAAUACAUUAGCAUGG
This 482-nucleotide ribosomal RNA is filed under the name Haliclona fascigera. RNAcentral describes it as "bacterial SSU rRNA". It matches the Rfam family "Eukaryotic small subunit ribosomal RNA", at positions 395 to 812 of the family's 1831-position model. The record is from RNAcentral. Lineage: Eukaryota; Metazoa; Porifera; Demospongiae; Haplosclerida; Chalinidae.